CCUACGGGCGGCUGCAGUGGGGAAUAUUGCACAAUGGGGGGAACCCUGAUGCAGCGACGCCGCGUGGGUGAAGGAGUAUUUCGGUAUGUAAAGCCCUAUCAGCAUGGAAGAACAAUGACGGUACCUGACUAAGAAGCACCGGCUAAAUACGUGCCAGCAGCCGCGGUAAUACGUAUGGUGCAAGCGUUAUCCGGAUUUACUGGGUGUAAAGGGAGCGUAGGCGGGAAAGCAAGUUGAAUGUUUAAGGUACGGGCUCAACCUGUACAAGCGUUCAAAACUGUUUUUCUUGAGUGGAGUAGAGGUAAGCGGAAUUCCUAGUGUAGCGGUGAAAUGCGUAAAUAUUAGGAGGAACACCAGUGGCGAAGGCGGCUUACUGGGCUUUAACUGACGCUGAGGCUCGAAAGCGUGGGUAGCAAACAGGAUUAGAUACCCUAGUAGUC
RNAcentral lists this ribosomal RNA (440 nucleotides) under uncultured bacterium. RNAcentral's name for it is "partial 16S ribosomal RNA". It matches the Rfam family "Bacterial small subunit ribosomal RNA", at positions 338 to 795 of the family's 1533-position model. The record is from RNAcentral.